UACGUCUUGUGUCAGAGACAUUCUACUAUGUGUUGCAGACACUGAAUUAAUCAGCUAACCAGCUAGCUUGUCCUGUAGUAGCUGGUUUCUAUACCUUAAGAAACAACACGUCACUGUAGCGACCGCUCUGCCAUCAGUCCAACAUGAGAAAAGAAGUAGCAUGGCCCAUUCAGUGCUCUUGUUGACAGAGUGAUAGCUAAAGCUGUAGGAAAUCACUACCUUGAGCAGCAAAACACAAAAAGAUGAAAAAGACAAAAGAAGGUUUAAUGCUUACACAGAUAAGCAAACAGCUGCUUAUAAAGCUAACCUUUGUUUCAGCUUUUAAAGGUAGCUCAUUUUAUAAUGUUACCAUCAGUGUAAUUGAGGGUUUUUGAGCACACAUGGCCUGUUUUAGGUCAUGCAAAGCAUCUUAAUUGGAUUUAAGUUCAGAAAUGAACUAGGCCACUUGCUGUUGUUUGUCUUCAAUCAGCAUGUCUUUCGGAUCCCAAGUGCGCUGAGCUUCAGGACAAAAACUGAUGGCCAGACAUUUACAUUUUCUGAGAGCACAAUUUAUGGCUCCUUCAGUUACGGCAAGUCCUUCAUGUCCUGAAGCGUCAAAGCAGCCCCAGAACAUCACAUCACCACCACCAUGUUUGACUAAUAUUUUCCCCAAUGUCUUCAGGAUACUGUUUGGUUUUUUGGAGACCUCCUGGAUGAGUCAUCGUUGCUCUUGGAAUAAUUUCGCUGUAGUAGCAUGGACAGCCUUGGUGAAAAAUGAAAGUCUCCUCAGUCUACGCAAAUAAGAACCAGAUGAGUCCUGAAAUGAGCUCUCCUGGAAGCCUUGUCUUGCUUGUAAGGUCUGCUAAAACACACAAGUCUUUGUGAGCGAGUGACCUGCUGAGCCACAAACUACACAAACAGCGGUUCAUUUCAGCAUCAAAGCAGCGCGCGACACUAGGAAAUCUCCAUCCCAACUCUUCACUUCAUCUGGAAUUAAUGCGGGAUGUCAGAGAAGGAUGGGAGUUUCUGUGCUGCCAAGAAUGGAUAGUCAGGUCACGGAAUGAGGAUACACAGAGACAGAGGGCUUCAACAUCACUGCCCAGGGGCAUUACUGAUGUGGCUACAGAGCAGUGGAUAUCUUCUAGUGGAGUUUGAUGAGACUAUCAAUAAUGUUUCUGCAAUAGUUUUUUGUUCAUUCACUUUUGGACAGGUUUGUCUUCACAGCCCAUUUCUUCUCUCAGCAGAGCCUUGUGACUAUUUGCAGCCACGAAGAAGCCACAAUGCAUCUGUCAUAACUGUAAAAUCAAGACAAUUGUUUCAAUAAACAACACAAAAAACCUU
Long non-coding RNA from Oreochromis niloticus (Nile tilapia), 1320 nucleotides. RefSeq lists it as uncharacterized. The record is from RefSeq and is a predicted model, not a curated record. The transcript has 6 exons. Lineage: Eukaryota; Metazoa; Chordata; Actinopteri; Cichliformes; Cichlidae.